This is a non-coding RNA of Chelonoidis abingdonii (Abingdon island giant tortoise), 89 nucleotides long. The record is from RefSeq and is a predicted model, not a curated record. Lineage: Eukaryota; Metazoa; Chordata; Testudines; Testudinidae.
GUUUGCAGCCAGGUGUUUUACCAGUCGGGAGCACCCCAGCUCCUCUUGCCUUUCCCCAGCACUACUCUACCACAGGUACCCUUCUCAGC